CCGGCCAGAGGGGAACCUAGCGGCCGCGACACCGACGCCCUGCCCCGAGAGGCCUGGCUGCGCCGGCUACUGCGACAGAGAGGCCGGACUCCCCGGGCGGUGGGGAGGGCGGGGGUCUGUAAGAUGGCCUCCUGCGGUCUGGAAUGACUUGCUCGGUGGUGUUGCGGCUGGGCAGAAAUGAUUCGAGUAAAGGCAGCUUCCUCGUUGUGGGGCGGUUUUUUUGUUUUGUUUUGUUUUGUUUUGUUUUGUUUCUUGCCGAUAGGUUGGUUUCGCCUUCUCUUUCGGAGGGGAUUGCUCAAGUGUGAAGAACAUUACAGCAAACAGGCGGUUCAGGAAAGGCCUAAAACGGCCAUGUCAUUUUGAACAGAAUGACAUAACUUCUGUCAAAGGUUCAAAAUAGCCGGAAGAAAACCAAAGGAAUCACUGAAGUAGCAGUCAGUAAAAAAUUACUGUGCGGGCCCCAGAAAGUUUGCGGACCGGGAGCAUUCAAACCAAAACAUGGAAUGAGGCUCAGGGGUGCGUGGUUUAAGGCAGCUUAUCCAGUGACAAAGCUGUGACUGUUUAUUCUUCACAGUGAUUAGUUACAAUAUUAUAAUUUUCAGUGGUUACCAGUCAUAUCAACUUCGGGAAGCAGUUCAAGUUUUGCUUGUCAUUUCCGGAGACACGGGCAAGAAACGACCAGGUCCAGUUAGCCUUGCAGGAUAAGCCACGUUAAGCUUCGCCAGCAUGACCAAACUGCUUCUGUCUGCUCGGGGACACUUCAAGGGUGGUGUUUCUUGCGCUGGCCUUUUCAGCUGGCCACACAGGCCCUUCCAUUGCUCUAUUUCCUGCGGUAGAAGAGCGGUGGCUUUCAAACACGGUGGAUCAUUCCACAGCAAGAAAGAGAGUGUAUAUUACGGCCCAGCACCUACUUACACCGAUAAAACCAUAAGCUUCUCGGCCUCUCUCUCCAUCCGGUCUCCUGGUUUGUGAGAUGAGACUUUCAGCCCCGGGAAUCUCUGGGAUACCUUCCAUGGCCAGCCCUCUACGAUUCUAACAGCUAAGGACGUUUCAUCUGCCGGAAUAUUCUCUCUCCCACCCCUCCUGUAUUUUAGGGUCCCUGUGAAACUGUGCACACCGUAUCUAUCAAGCUCACUGCCUAGAAAGGGGGCCCAGUCAGCCCAGCGUGCGUGAGACGCUGGAAGGAGCCGGGGCGCAUCUCGGCGUGGGGCAGGGGCACUCCGAGGCCAGAAGGGGUGAUGCAGGUGCAAGAGGGGGGCCAGUUCGUCCCUCCUUCGGGGUUAAGGACGGGUCGGUGCACACGGGAGAUGAGCAGGACGGUGCCCCCCGGGCUUCCUGGGGGAGAGACGAGAGCCAGCGUGCUCCCCGUGCUGGCACGGGACGGACACCGGCUCCGCGCGGGUUUGCGGUUCGUGUCAAGCAGGCACAGGGAACUGCAUCCUUGCUCACGAUGGGCUGCACGGCAGGCUGCCCCCAAACAGGCCACUUUGGCCUAUUGACUGUUUUGAACUUAGUUACAGGAGAAGCAGCGGGCGCAAGGACUCUCUGACCUCCUUUGUGCCCUGGAAGCAGGACCUAAGUGUCCCCCGUGAAGGUCCGCGUCCUGUCCCGGGAGGAAGGGAGACAGCCUUCUUGCCAGCGAUGGGGACGUCAAGGCCGAGAAGGCUGUGUAAGCAAACCGGCUACUUCUUCGCUGCUUCGCUACCCCAAGCCCCAGCUUCUGUCAGUGCUUCACAGAUUCAUGGUUUCUUUGUCUAAAAGGUGUAAAAGCUGCUAGCUUGGCUCACUUCUUGGAGUCUCCUAUUUCUAUGGGCUCCCAUACGUACACAAUUAAAUUUGUUUUUCUCCUGUUAACCUGUCUUCUGCCGAUUUCAUUAUUAGACCAGCCAAAGAACCCAGAGGGAAAAGUUUUCUGCCUCUACAAUGUACUAUAUUUUUAUCUACAUGAACACCUUUAUACAUGAACGUAGGAAACAAUUCGGUAGCCAAUCCAGUAAAGUCUCAACCAACACUGGAAUUUCACUGGCUAGCGGGAUUAGGGGUGUUUCACAUUUUUCUUCCUUUUAGUUUACUUACACGUCCUAAUUUUUCUACCGUUACUGUGUAUUACUUUUGUAACAAGAAACAGUUAUUGCUUGUUUUCUCGAAAGCACUAUAGUAGACACGAUGCUCAUGGAAUAAACAAUUUUGGCUGCCUUUUAA
Molecule: non-coding RNA, 2202 nt
Organism: Leptonychotes weddellii (Weddell seal)
Lineage: Eukaryota; Metazoa; Chordata; Mammalia; Carnivora; Phocidae
Source: RefSeq, a predicted model, not a curated record